This 496-nucleotide ribosomal RNA is filed under the name uncultured bacterium. RNAcentral describes it as "partial 16S ribosomal RNA". It matches the Rfam family "Bacterial small subunit ribosomal RNA", at positions 29 to 507 of the family's 1533-position model. The record is from RNAcentral.
AUGAACGCUGGCGGCGUGCCUAAUACAUGCAAGUCGAGCGAACAGAUAAGGAGCUUGCUCCUUUGACGUUAGCGGCGGACGGGUGAGUAACACGUGGGUAACCUACCUAUAAGACUGGGAUAACUUCGGGAAACCGGAGCUAAUACCGGAUAAUAUUUCGAACCGCAUGGUUCGAUAGUGAAAGAUGGUUUUGCUAUCACUUAUAGAUGGACCCGCGCCGUAUUAGCUAGUUGGUAAGGUAACGGCUUACCAAGGCGACGAUACGUAGCCGACCUGAGAAGGUGAUCGGCCACACUGGAACUGAGACACGGUCCAGACUCCUACGGGAGGCAGCAGUAGGGAAUCUUCCGCAAUGGGCGAAAGCCUGACGGAGCAACGCCGCGUGAGUGAUGAAGGUCUUCGGAUCGUAAAACUCUGUUAUUAGGGAAGAACAUACGUGUAAGUAACUGUGCACGUCUUGACGGUACCUAAUCAGAAAGCCACGGCUAACUACGUG